RNAcentral lists this ribosomal RNA (301 nucleotides) under uncultured bacterium. RNAcentral's name for it is "partial 16S ribosomal RNA". It matches the Rfam family "Bacterial small subunit ribosomal RNA", at positions 509 to 809 of the family's 1533-position model. The record is from RNAcentral.
CAGCAGCCACGGUAAUACGAAGGGGGCUAGCGUUGCUCGGAAUUACUGGGCGUAAAGGGAGCGUAGGCGGAUCGUUUAGUCAGGGGUGAAAUCCCGGGGCUCAACCUCGGAACUGCCUUUGAUACUGGCGAUCUUAAGUAUGGGAGAGGUGUGUGGAACUCCGAGUGUAGAGGUGAGAUUCGUAGAUAUUCGGAAGAACACCAGUGGCGAAGGCGACACACUGGCCCAUUACUGACGCUGAGGCUCGAAGGCGUGGGGAGCAAACAGGAUUAGAUACCCCGGUAGUCCCUGUCUCUUAUAU